Molecule: ribosomal RNA, 253 nt
Filed under: uncultured bacterium
Lineage: Bacteria
Description: partial 16S ribosomal RNA
Rfam family: Bacterial small subunit ribosomal RNA
Source: RNAcentral
UACAGAGGGUGCGAGCGUUAAUCGGAAUUACUGGGCGUAAAGCGUGCGUAGACGGUUAUGUAAGUCAGGUGUGAAAGCCCCGGGCUCAACCUGGGAAUUGCAUUUGAGACUGCAUAGCUAGGGUGCAGAAGAGGGAAGCGGAAUUUCCGGUGUAGCGGUGAAAUGCGUAGAUAUCGGAAGGAACAUCAGUGGCGAAAGCGGCUUCCUGGUCCAGCACCGACGUUCAGGCACGAAAGCGUGGGGAGCAAACAGG